AGUGGCGGACGGGUGAGUAACGCGUGGGUAACCGUGCCUUGUACUGGGGGACAACAGUUAGAAAUAGACUGCUAAUACCGCAUAAGCGCACAGGACCGCAUGGUCUAGUGUGAAAAACUACCGGUGGUGUGAGAUGGACCCGCGUUUGAUUAGCUAGUUGGUGGGGUAACGGCCUACCAAGGCGACGAUCAAUAGCCGACCUGAGAGGGUGACCGGCCACAUUGGGACUGAGACACGGCCCAA
RNAcentral lists this ribosomal RNA (243 nucleotides) under uncultured bacterium. RNAcentral's name for it is "partial 16S ribosomal RNA". It matches the Rfam family "Bacterial small subunit ribosomal RNA", at positions 94 to 334 of the family's 1533-position model. The record is from RNAcentral.